UGGCGCUUUUUUUUUCAGCAAACACACUUUUCCACAAAUCUGAGAGAUGCAGGUCCUCACUCUCCAACACCAGAACACACCAGCACUCUUACCGGGGCACAACAAAAGCGCGCAAACGCACCUGCGGCAGCGACACACUCACACACGCAGAGCUGAUCCCGCAUCAGCUGAGCGAUCAGAAAUAACUUCACUCACGUCAAACGGCGCUCCUCUCCCGCUCCAGGACCGCGGCGCAUUUUCCUCCUUUUAAAAAGUGUGUCAUAGCUGGCAGGUGCAACUGCGAAUAGAGAGGUCCCGUCCGAUGAGGCGCAGUGAGUCCGGCUCGGCCCGCCCCGGACAGGAUCGGCUGGGUUCGGCUCGGCUCGGGCCAGCUGUCGGUGUGUCUCUGGUGGCCGUCGGGAGAUGACUGUGUACAUUUCAGCCCCUUUUCCCAUCAGCCCGGAGCUCCGCAUACUCUGCCUCUCUGUUCCUGCCUUUUCAUUAUCUCAUGUCCAUGUGACACGCUCGGGCCUCUGACAGUGGAAACUUAAAGGGACCUCCCACGUGAUGGCGCUCCGUGCGCGCUCGCGGUGGGUAGUGCGCGCAUCCCGAGGAAACAAGAUGCUGCGCCCUCAAUAAAAGUGAAACAGCAGGCCGUUAACACCUCGGACCGGCUUUGACCGGACUGUUACCGGAAAGAGGAUGAUGAGGAUGGUUGUUAUGAUGAAGAAGAAAUUAUAGUGAAUUUGAACUUGAUGAUUUAGGCCUGAGUGAUAGAAGCCUAUAUGUUUUGUUGAUGACGUUUUUGAUGCUGAUGAUUUUAUGGUGGCAAUUACUGAUCCUGGUCCAAACAACGGAAGUCCAACAGACCGCUGGAUGACGUCAAGACGGCUACUUCCUCUCCAUUAAACAGCCAAUGGGCCAAAGAUGUGCUUUUCAGUGGUACUCAAUAAUAAAACCAUCUUCUCUAAUA
This is a long non-coding RNA of Notolabrus celidotus (New Zealand spotty), 952 nucleotides long. RefSeq lists it as uncharacterized. NCBI's taxonomy places the organism in Eukaryota, Metazoa, Chordata, Actinopteri, Labriformes, Labridae. The transcript is spliced from 2 exons. The record is from RefSeq and is a predicted model, not a curated record.